Molecule: ribosomal RNA, 2883 nt
Filed under: Campylobacter coli
Lineage: Bacteria; Pseudomonadati; Campylobacterota; Epsilonproteobacteria; Campylobacterales; Campylobacteraceae
Description: partial 23S ribosomal RNA
Rfam family: Bacterial large subunit ribosomal RNA
Source: RNAcentral
GUAAGCUACUAAGAGCGAAUGGUGGAUGCCUUGACUGGUAAAGGCGAUGAAGGACGUACUAGACUGCGAUAAGCUACGGGGAGCUGUCAAGAAGCUUUGAUCCGUAGAUUUCCGAAUGGGGCAACCCAAUGUAUAGAGAUAUACAUUACCUAUAUAGGAGCGAACGAGGGGAAUUGAAACAUCUUAGUACCCUCAGGAAAAGAAAUCAAUAGAGAUUGCGUCAGUAGCGGCGAGCGAAAGCGCAAGAGGGCAAACCCAGUGCUUGCACUGGGGGUUGUAGGACUGCAAUGUGCAAGAGGUGAGUUUAGCAGAACAUUCUGGAAAGUAUAGCCAUAGAGGGUGAUAGUCCCGUAUGCGAAAAACAAACCUUAGCUAGCAGUAUCCUGAGUAGGGCGGGACACGAGAAAUCCUGUCUGAAGCUGGGUCGACCACGAUCCAACCCUAAAUACUAAUACCAGAUCGAUAGUGCACAAGUACCGUGAGGGAAAGGUGAAAAGAACUGAGGUGAUCAGAGUGAAAUAGAACCUGAAACCAUUUGCUUACAAUCAUUCAGAGCCCUAUGUAGCAAUACAGGGUGAUGGACUGCCUUUUGCAUAAUGAGCCUGCGAGUUGUGGUGUCUGGCAAGGUUAAGCAAACGCGAAGCCGUAGCGAAAGCGAGUCUGAAUAGGGCGCUUAGUCAGAUGCUGCAGACCCGAAACGAAGUGAUCUAUCCAUGAGCAAGUUGAAGCUAGUGUAAGAACUAGUGGAGGACUGAACCCAUAGGCGUUGAAAAGCCCCGGGAUGACUUGUGGAUAGGGGUGAAAGGCCAAUCAAACUUCGUGAUAGCUGGUUCUCUCCGAAAUAUAUUUAGGUAUAGCGUUGUGUCGUAAUAUAAGGGGGUAGAGCACUGAAUGGGCUAGGGCAUACACCAAUGUACCAAACCCUAUCAAACUCCGAAUACCUUAUAUGUAAUCACAGCAGUCAGGCGGCGAGUGAUAAAAUCCGUCGUCAAGAGGGAAACAACCCAGACUACCAGCUAAGGUCCCUAAAUCUUACUUAAGUGGAAAACGAUGUGAAGUUACUUAAACAACCAGGAGGUUGGCUUAGAAGCAGCCAUCCUUUAAAGAAAGCGUAAUAGCUCACUGGUCUAGUGAUUUUGCGCGGAAAAUAUAACGGGGCUAAAGUAAGUACCGAAGCUGUAGACUUGCGCACAACUUAGAUUAUUUAAGUUUAGAAUAUGAGAAACUAAGUUAUAUGUUUAGUUAUAUUUUUACUGAUUUUUAUAGAGUAAAGAUAGAAAUAAAACUUAGUAAAAUCAGUAAAAAUAUUCUUAGACUAAAGUUAAGUAGUUUAAGUUGUGUGCAAGUGGUAGGAGAGCGUUCUAUUUGCGUCGAAGGUAUACCGGUAAGGAGUGCUGGAGCGAAUAGAAGUGAGCAUGCAGGCAUGAGUAGCGAUAAUUAAUGUGAGAAUCAUUAACGCCGUAAACCCAAGGUUUCCUACGCGAUGCUCGUCAUCGUAGGGUUAGUCGGGUCCUAAGUCGAGUCCGAAAGGGGUAGACGAUGGCAAAUUGGUUAAUAUUCCAAUACCAACAUUAGUGUGCGAUGGAAGGACGCUUAGGGCUAAGGGGGCUAGCGGAUGGAAGUGCUAGUCUAAGGUCGUAGGAGGUUAUACAGGCAAAUCCGUAUAACAAUACUCCGAGAACUGAAAGGCUUUUUGAAGUCUUCGGAUGGAUAGAAGAACCCCUGAUGCCGUCGAGCCAAGAAAAGUUUCUAAGUUUAGCUAAUGUUGCCCGUACCGUAAACCGACACAGGUGGGUGGGAUGAGUAUUCUAAGGCGCGUGGAAGAACUCUCUUUAAGGAACUCUGCAAAAUAGCACCGUAUCUUCGGUAUAAGGUGUGGUUCGCUUCGUAUUAGGAUUUACUCCGAAAGCGAAGAAACUUACAACAAAGAGUCCCUCCCGACUGUUUACCAAAAACACAGCACUCUGCUAACUCGUAAGAGGAUGUAUAGGGUGUGACGCCUGCCCGGUGCUCGAAGGUUAAUUGAUGGGGUUAGCAUUAGCGAAGCUCUUGAUCGAAGCCCGAGUAAACGGCGGCCGUAACUAUAACGGUCCUAAGGUAGCGAAAUUCCUUGUCGGUUAAAUACCGACCUGCAUGAAUGGCGUAACGAGAUGGGAGCUGUCUCAAAGAGGGAUCCAGUGAAAUUGUAGUGGAGGUGAAAAUUCCUCCUACCCGCGGCAAGACGGAAAGACCCCGUGGACCUUUACUACAGCUUGACACUGCUAUUUGGAUAAGAAUGUGCAGGAUAGGUGGGAGGCUUUGAGUAUAUGACGCCAGUUGUAUAUGAGCCAUUGUUGAGAUACCACUCUUUCUUAUUUGGGUAGCUAACCAGCUUGAGUUAUCCUCAAGUGGGACAAUGUCUGGUGGGUAGUUUGACUGGGGCGGUCGCCUCCCAAAUAAUAACGGAGGCUUACAAAGGUUGGCUCAGAACGGUUGGAAAUCGUUCGUAGAGUAUAAAGGUAUAAGCCAGCUUAACUGCAAGACAUACAAGUCAAGCAGAGACGAAAGUCGGUCUUAGUGAUCCGGUGGUUCUGUGUGGAAGGGCCAUCGCUCAAAGGAUAAAAGGUACCCCGGGGAUAACAGGCUGAUCUCCCCCAAGAGCUCACAUCGACGGGGAGGUUUGGCACCUCGAUGUCGGCUCAUCGCAUCCUGGGGCUGGAGCAGGUCCCAAGGGUAUGGCUGUUCGCCAUUUAAAGCGGUACGCGAGCUGGGUUCAGAACGUCGUGAGACAGUUCGGUCCCUAUCUGCCGUGGGCGUAAGAAGAUUGAAGAGAUUUGACCCUAGUACGAGAGGACCGGGUUGAACAAACCACUGGUGUAGCUGUUGUUCUGCCAAGAGCAUCGC